Molecule: ribosomal RNA, 255 nt
Filed under: uncultured bacterium
Lineage: Bacteria
Description: partial 16S ribosomal RNA
Rfam family: Bacterial small subunit ribosomal RNA
Source: RNAcentral
UACGAAGGGGGGCUAGCGUUGUUCGGAAUUACUGGGCGUAAAGCGCACGUAGGCGGAUAUUUAAGUCAGGGGUGAAAUCCCAGAGCUCAACUCUGGAACUGCCUUUGAUACUGGGUAUCUUGAGUAUGGAAGAGGUAAGUGGAAUUGCGAGUGUAGAGGUGAAAUUCGUAGAUAUUCGCAGGAACACCAGUGGCGAAGGCGGCUUACUGGUCCAUAACUGACGCUGAGGUGCGAAAGCGUGGGGGAGCAAACAGG